RNAcentral lists this ribosomal RNA (757 nucleotides) under uncultured Psilocybe. Its description in RNAcentral is "partial 28S ribosomal RNA". It matches the Rfam family "Eukaryotic large subunit ribosomal RNA", at positions 216 to 962 of the family's 3401-position model. Lineage: Eukaryota; Fungi; Basidiomycota; Agaricomycetes; Agaricales; Strophariaceae. The record is from RNAcentral.
GAAUCCCGUCUUUGACACGGACUACCAGUGCUUUGUGAUGCGCUCUCAAAGAGUCGAGUUGUUUGGGAAUGCAGCUCAAAAUGGGUGGUAAAUUCCAUCUAAAGCUAAAUAUUGGCGAGAGACCGAUAGCGAACAAGUACCGUGAGGGAAAGAUGAAAAGAACUUUGGAAAGAGAGUUAAACAGUACGUGAAAUUGCUGAAAGGGAAACGCUUGAAGUCAGUCGCGUUGUCCGGGGAUCAACCUUGCUUUUGCUGGGUGUACUUUCCGGUUGACGGGUCAGCAUCAAUUUUGACCGUUGGAUAAAGUGUAAGGGAAUGUGGCAUCCUCGGAUGUGUUAUAGCCCUUGCUCGCAUACAACGGUUGGGAUUGAGGAACUCAGUACGCCGCAAGGCCGAGAUUUAUCUACGUUCGUACUUAGGAUGCUGGCAUAAUGGCUUUAAUCGACCCGUCUUGAAACACGGACCAAGGAGUCUAACAUGCCUGCGAGUGUUUGGGUGGAAAACCCGAGCGCGUAAUGAAAGUGAAAGUUGAGAUCCCUGUCGUGGGGAGCAUCGACGCCCGGACCAGACCUUUUGUGACGGAUCUGCGGUAGAGCAUGUAUGUUGGGACCCGAAAGAUGGUGAACUAUGCCUGAAUAGGGUGAAGCCAGAGGAAACUCUGGUGGAGGCUCGUAGCGAUUCUGACGUGCAAAUCGAUCGUCAAAUUUGGGUAUAGGGGCGAAAGACUAAUCGAACCAUCUAGUAGCUGGUUCCUGCC